GAUGAACGCUGGCGGCGUGCCUAAUACAUGCAAGUCGAGCGAACAGAUGAGGAGCUUGCUCCUCUGACGUUAGCGGCGGACGGGUGAGUAACACGUGGAUAACCUACCUAUAAGACUGGGAUAACUUCGGGAAACCGGAGCUAAUACCGGAUAAUAUAUUGAACCGCAUGGUUCAAUAGUGAAAGACGGUUUUGCUGUCACUUAUAGAUGGAUCCGCGCCGCAUUAGCUAGUUGGUAAGGUAACGGCUUACCAAGCCAACGAUGCGUAGCAGACCUGAGAGGGUGAUCGGCCACCCUGGAACUGGGACACGGUCCAGACUCCUACGGGAGGCAGCAGUAGGGAAUCUUCCGCAAUGGGCGAAAGCCUGACGGAGCAACGCCCCGUGAGUGAUGAAGGUCUUCGGAUCGUAAAACUCUGUUAUUAGGGAAGAACAAAUGUGUAAGUAACUAUGCACGUCUUGACGGUACCUAAUCAGAAAGCCACGGCUAACUACGUG
This 497-nucleotide ribosomal RNA is filed under the name uncultured bacterium. RNAcentral's name for it is "partial 16S ribosomal RNA". It matches the Rfam family "Bacterial small subunit ribosomal RNA", at positions 28 to 507 of the family's 1533-position model. The record is from RNAcentral.